Long non-coding RNA from Etheostoma cragini (Arkansas darter), 125 nucleotides. RefSeq lists it as uncharacterized. NCBI's taxonomy places the organism in Eukaryota, Metazoa, Chordata, Actinopteri, Perciformes, Percidae. The record is from RefSeq and is a predicted model, not a curated record. The transcript is spliced from 2 exons.
CCAAACGUGUUUAGAUAAAGUGCAUUUAGAUAUGACACUUAAAGUAGACUUCUAGCGUGAAUAACAACGCCAAAGGCCCUUGACCAAGCGUCCGUAUUUUACGCGAUGGGAGUUAGAAUGUGUUG